AGAGUUUGAUCCUGGCUCAGAUUGAACGCUGGCGGCAUGCCUUACACAUGCAAGUCGAACGGCAGCACGGGAGCAAUCCUGGUGGCGAGUGGCGAACGGGUGAGUAAUAUAUCGGAACGUGCCCAGUCGUGGGGGAUAACGCAGCGAAAGCUGUGCUAAUACCGCAUACGAUCUAUGGAUGAAAGCGGGGGAUCGCAAGACCUCGCGCGAUUGGAGCGGCCGAUAUCAGAUUAGGUAGUUGGUGGGGUAAAAGCCCACCAAGCCGACGAUCUGUAGCUGGUCUGAGAGGACGACCAGCCACACUGGAACUGAGACACGGUCCAGACUCCUACGGGAGGCAGCAGUGGGGAAUUUUGGACAAUGGGCGCAAGCCUGAUCCAGCAAUGCCGCGUGCAGGAUGAAGGCCUUCGGGUUGUAAACUGCUUUUGUACGGAACGAAACGGCCCUCUCUAAUAAAGGGGGCUAAUGACGGUACCGUAAGAAUAAGCACCGGCUAACUACGUGCCAGCAGCCGCGGUAAUACGUAGGGUGCGAGCGUUAAUCGGAAUUACUGGGCGUAAAGCGUGCGCAGGCGGUUAUAUAAGACAGAUGUGAAAUCCCCGGGCUCAACCUGGGACCUGCAUUUGUGACUGUAUAGCUAGAGUACGGUAGAGGGGGAUGGAAUUCCGCGUGUAGCAGUGAAAUGCGUAGAUAUGCGGAGGAACACCGAUGGCGAAGGCAAUCCCCUGGACCUGUACUGACGCUCAUGCACGAAAGCGUGGGGAGCAAACAGGAUUAGAUACCCUGGUAGUCCACGCCCUAAACGAUGUCAACUGGUUGUUGGGUCUUCACUGACUCAGUAACGAAGCUAACGCGUGAAGUUGACCGCCUGGGGAGUACGGCCGCAAGGUUGAGACUCAAAGGAAUUGACGGGGACCCGCACAAGCGGUGGAUGAUGUGGUUUAAUUCGAUGCAACGCGAAAAACCUUACCCACCUUUGACAUGUACGGAAUUUGCCAGAGAUGGCUUAGUGCUCGAAAGAGAACCGUAACACAGGUGCUGCAUGGCUGUCGUCAGCUCGUGACGUGAGAUGUUGGGUUAAGUCCCGCAACGAGCGCAACCCUUGUCAUUAGUUGCUACAUUUAGUUGGGCACUCUAAUGAGACUGCCGGUGACAAACCGGAGGAAGGUGGGGAUGACGUCAAGUCCUCAUGGCCCUUAUAGGUGGGGCUACACACGUCAUACAAUGGCUGGUACAAAGGGUUGCCAACCCGCGAGGGGGAGCUAAUCCCAUAAAGCCAGUCGUAGUCCGGAUCGCAGUCUGCAACUCGACUGCGUGAAGUCGGAAUCGCUAGUAAUCGUGGAUCAGAAUGUCACGGUGAAUACGUUCCCGGGUCUUGUACACACCGCCCGUCACACCAUGGGAGCGGGUUCUGCCAGAAGUAGUUAGCCUAACCGCAAGGAGGGCGAUUACCACGGCAGGGUUCGUGACUGGGGUGAAGUCGUAACAAGGUA
RNAcentral lists this ribosomal RNA (1493 nucleotides) under metagenome. RNAcentral's name for it is "bacterial SSU rRNA". It matches the Rfam family "Bacterial small subunit ribosomal RNA". The record is from RNAcentral.